Molecule: ribosomal RNA, 433 nt
Filed under: uncultured bacterium
Lineage: Bacteria
Description: partial 16S ribosomal RNA
Rfam family: Bacterial small subunit ribosomal RNA
Source: RNAcentral
AACGAACGCUGGCGGCAUGCCUAACACAUGCAAGUCGAACGGGACCUUCGGGUCUAGUUGCGCACGUCUGCUUAACGCCUGGUAACCUGCCCUUAGGUUCGGAAUAACUGCCCUAAGGGUGUGUUAAUACCGGUUAAUGUCUUCCGGCCAAAGACUUAUCGCGAUUUGCUGGGCGCUGGAUGGAUUCGCUAGUUGGUAGGGUACUAGCAUACCAAGGCGACGAUGCAUAGCUGGUCUGUGAGGAUGAUCAGCCACAAUGGGACUGCGACACGGACCAGAAUCGUACGCGGGGGAGCAGUAGGGAAUACUGGACACGGGGCGCAAGCCUGACAAAGCAAUGCCGGGUGAGUGAUGCAGGCCUUAGGGUUGUAAAGCUCUUUUACCCGGGAUGAUAAUGACAGUACCGGGAGAAUAAGCACCGGCUAACUACGUG